GAAAUGCGAUAAGUAAUGUGAAUUGCAGAAUUCCGUGAAUCAUCGAAUCUUUGAACGCACAUUGCGCCCUCUGGUAUUCCGGGGGGCAUGCCUGUCCGAGCGUCAUUGCGAACCCCUCAAGCACGGCUUGUGUGAUGGGCCCUCCCGCGUCUUGGUCGUCAAGACGGGCCCAAAAUGCAGUGGCGGCUUCGCGGUUAUCCGAUCAGCCAGAGCGUAUGGGGACUUUCUCUCUGUCACACGCCCGCGGCGCGGACCGACGCCUGUCGACCUUUAUUCAUCUUUUUCUCGGUUGACCUCGGAUCAGGUAGGGAUACCCGCUGAACUUAAGC
RNAcentral lists this unclassified non-coding RNA (329 nucleotides) under plant metagenome. RNAcentral's name for it is "partial contains 5.8S ribosomal RNA, internal transcribed spacer 2, and large subunit ribosomal RNA". The stretch from base 1 to 105 matches the Rfam family "5.8S ribosomal RNA", at positions 50 to 154 of the family's 154-position model. The record is from RNAcentral.